RNAcentral lists this ribosomal RNA (510 nucleotides) under Enterobacter cloacae. RNAcentral's name for it is "bacterial SSU rRNA". It matches the Rfam family "Bacterial small subunit ribosomal RNA", at positions 1033 to 1533 of the family's 1533-position model. The record is from RNAcentral. Lineage: Bacteria; Pseudomonadati; Pseudomonadota; Gammaproteobacteria; Enterobacterales; Enterobacteriaceae.
GACAGGUGCUGCAUGGCUGUCGUCAGCUCGUGUUGUGAAAUGUUGGGUUAAGUCCCGCAACGAGCGCAACCCUUAUCCUUUGUUGCCAGCGGUUAGGCCGGGAACUCAAAGGAGACUGCCAGUGAUAAACUGGAGGAAGGUGGGGAUGACGUCAAGUCAUCAUGGCCCUUACGAGUAGGGCUACACACGUGCUACAAUGGCGCAUACAAAGAGAAGCGACCUCGCGAGAGCAAGCGGACCUCAUAAAGUGCGUCGUAGUCCGGAUUGGAGUCUGCAACUCGACUCCAUGAAGUCGGAAUCGCUAGUAAUCGUGGAUCAGAAUGCCACGGUGAAUACGUUCCCGGGCCUUGUACACACCGCCCGUCACACCAUGGGAGUGGGUUGCAAAAGAAGUAGGUAGCUUAACCUUCGGGAGGGCGCUUACCACUUUGUGAUUCAUGACUGGGGUGAAGUCGUAACAAGGUAACCGUAGGGGAACCUGCGGUUGGAUCACCUCCUUACCUUAAAGAA